GUAGGGUGCGAGCGUUGUCCGGAAUUAUUGGGCGUAAAGAGCUCGUAGGCGGUCUGUCGCGUCGGCUGUGAAAACCCGGGGCUCAACUCCGGGCCUGCAGUCGAUACGGGCAGACUAGAGUUCGGUAGGGGAGACUGGAAUUCCUGGUGUAGCGGUGAAAUGCGCAGAUAUCAGGAGGAACACCGGUGGCGAAGGCGGGUCUCUGGGCCGAAACUGACGCUGAGGAGCGAAAGCGUGGGGAGCAAACAGGAUUAGAUACCCUGGUAGUCCACGCCGUAAACGUUGGGCGCUAGGUGUGGGGAGCUUUCCACGCUCUCCGUGCCGUAGCUAACGCACUAAGCGCCCCGCCUGGGGAGUACGGCCGCAAGGCUA
RNAcentral lists this ribosomal RNA (372 nucleotides) under uncultured bacterium. RNAcentral describes it as "bacterial SSU rRNA". It matches the Rfam family "Bacterial small subunit ribosomal RNA", at positions 527 to 896 of the family's 1533-position model. The record is from RNAcentral.